UACGUAGGGUGCGAGCGUUGUCCGGAAUUAUUGGGCGUAAAGAGCUUGUAGGCGGUUUGUCGCGUCGUCUGUGAAAUCCCGGGGCUUAACUUCGGGCGUGCAGGCGAUACGGGCAUAACUUGAGUGCUGUAGGGGAGACUGGAAUUCCUGGUGUAGCGGUGAAAUGCGCAGAUAUCAGGAGGAACACCGAUGGCGAAGGCAGGUCUCUGGGCAGUUACUGACGCUGAGGAGCGAAAGCAUGGGUAGCGAACAGGAUUAGAUA
This 262-nucleotide ribosomal RNA is filed under the name uncultured prokaryote. RNAcentral's name for it is "partial 16S ribosomal RNA". It matches the Rfam family "Bacterial small subunit ribosomal RNA", at positions 524 to 784 of the family's 1533-position model. The record is from RNAcentral.